GUGCCUAAUACAUGCAAGUCGAACGGUCUUCCUAUGGAAGCUUGCUUCCACUGAGAAGAUAGUGGCGAACGGGUGAGUAACACGUGGGUAACCUGCCCAUAAGAGGGGGAUAACAUCCGGAAACGGGUGCUAAUACCGCAUAGUUUUUCUUGAUCGCAUGAUUGAGAAAGGAAAGACGGCCUUUGUGCUGUCGCUUAUGGAUGGACCCGCGGCGUAUUAGUUAGUUGGUGAGGUAACGGCUCACCAAGACGAUGAUACGUAGCCGACCUGAGAGGGUGAUCGGCCACAUUGGGACUGAGACACGGCCCAAACUCCUACGGGAGGCAGCAGUAGGGAAUCUUCCGCAAUGGACGAAAGUCUGACGGAGCAACGCCGCGUGAGUGAAGAAAAGGUUUUCGGAUCGUAAAACUCUGUUGUCAGAGAAGAACAAGUUGGAGAGUAACUGCUCCAGCCUUGACGGUAUCUGACCAGAAAGCCACGGCUAACUACGUGCCAGCCGCUGC
This 503-nucleotide ribosomal RNA is filed under the name uncultured bacterium. RNAcentral describes it as "bacterial SSU rRNA". It matches the Rfam family "Bacterial small subunit ribosomal RNA", at positions 44 to 518 of the family's 1533-position model. The record is from RNAcentral.